AGGAAUCAAAUAAGUUUACAGACUUUGUGCUUCUGGCCUAGCAUAAGAAAAUGUUACUAUAUAUAAAUCUCUUCUUCAAGAUCUUCACAUAGGAAGGUAAUUUUGAUAUCCAUUUGAAGAAAAAUAAGUUUAUUGAUGGAAGCUAAAAUAAGUAGGACUCGAUAAUAAUAAUAUGAGCUAUAGCUGAAUAGAUAUCGAAGAAGUCAAUAUAAUUUUUUUUGUCCAAAAUCUUGAGCAACAUGCCUUGCUUUAUUUUUUUUGAUGGUACCAUCAAUUCUUA
This 280-nucleotide long non-coding RNA is filed under the name Elaeis guineensis (African oil palm). Its description in RNAcentral is "long non-coding RNA (EGUI_LNC028528)". The record is from RNAcentral. Lineage: Eukaryota; Viridiplantae; Streptophyta; Magnoliopsida; Arecales; Arecaceae.